This is a long non-coding RNA of Oncorhynchus tshawytscha (Chinook salmon), 465 nucleotides long. NCBI's taxonomy places the organism in Eukaryota, Metazoa, Chordata, Actinopteri, Salmoniformes, Salmonidae. The record is from Ensembl.
GUGAAGGUGUACAUUAAUAACUGUCCCGGUGAAGGUGUAAAUAACUACCCAGUGAAGGUGUACAUUAAUAACUGUCCCAGUGAAGGUGUACAUUAAUAACUACCCAGUGAAGGUGUACAUUAAUAACUGUCCCAGUGAAGGUGUACAUUAAUAACUACCCAGUGAAGGUGUACAUUAAUAACUGUCCCAGUGAAGGUGUACAUUAAUAACGUCCCAGUGAACCGUGUCAUCCCUAUCCCACAUGACAAUUUUCAGAUCUUUCGGCCUCCUCCUGUAUUUUCCUCCUGCUGCGAGGGCCGUGGGUGUUUAUCAUACUAGCGCGCUCCAUCUCUAAGGCUCCGAGUGCGUUCCCAGAGGACGAGAGUGAGGAGAACGGCACACUCCCGUGUUACCUUUGACCUUUUAGAGGAAAUUGCGUCGUCAACAUGUUGGUUGCUCAUCUAUGCUUUUCCUGCAUCGCGACUA